GUGGGGAAUAUUGGACAAUGGGCGAAAGCCUGAUCCAGCCAUGCCGCGUGUGUGAAGAAGGUCUUCGGAUUGUAAAGCACUUUAAGUUGGGAGGAAGGGCAGUAAGUUAAUACCUUGCUGUUUUGACGUUACCGACAGAAUAAGCACCGGCUAACUUCGUGCCAGCAGCCGCGGUAAUACGAAGGGUGCAAGCGUUAAUCGGAAUUACUGGGCGUAAAGCGCGCGUAGGUGGUUUUGUAAGUUGGAGGUGAAAGCCCCGGGCUCAACCUGGGAACUGCCUCCAAAAAUGCAUGACUAGAGUACGGUAGAGGGUAGUGGAAUUUCCUGGGUAGCGGUGAAAUGCGUAGAUAUAGGAAGGAACACCAGUGGCGAAGGCGACUACCUGGACUGAUACUGACACUGAGGUGCGAAAGCGUGGGGAGCAAACAGGAUUAGAUACCCGAGUAGUCC
Molecule: ribosomal RNA, 450 nt
Filed under: uncultured bacterium
Lineage: Bacteria
Description: bacterial SSU rRNA
Rfam family: Bacterial small subunit ribosomal RNA
Source: RNAcentral